AAGCGCUUGCAAUCAGACUUGCACUUGGUGUUCAUCAGGGUCUCGUACCCUGUGUACUUCAUCAAGUUCAGGCCAGCAUCAGUUUGAGUGGUUAGAUAAAGGCGGCGGGAAUGUGGCUCUCUUCGGGGAGUGUUAUAGCCCACCGUGUAAUACCCUGGGGGGGACUGAGGUUCGCGCAUCUGCAAGGAUGCUGGCGUAAUGGU
This 203-nucleotide ribosomal RNA is filed under the name Helotiales sp. RNAcentral's name for it is "partial large subunit ribosomal RNA". The record is from RNAcentral. Lineage: Eukaryota; Fungi; Ascomycota; Leotiomycetes; Helotiales.